Molecule: ribosomal RNA, 253 nt
Filed under: uncultured bacterium
Lineage: Bacteria
Description: partial 16S ribosomal RNA
Rfam family: Bacterial small subunit ribosomal RNA
Source: RNAcentral
UACGUAGGUGGCAAGCGUUGUCCGGAUUUACUGGGUGUAAAGGGCGUGCAGCCGGAGAGGCAAGUCAGAUGUGAAAUCCGCGGGCUCAACUCGCGAACUGCAUUUGAAACUGCUUCCCUUGAGUAUCGGAGAGGUAAUCGGAAUUCCUAGUGUAGCGGUGAAAUGCUUAGAUAUCGCGCAGAACUCCGAUUGCGAAGGCAGCAUGCCGGCUCCACACUGACGCUGAGGCACGAAAGCGUGGGUAUCGAACAGG